This is a small nucleolar RNA of Megalops cyprinoides (Indo-Pacific tarpon), 151 nucleotides long. RefSeq annotates it as small nucleolar RNA U109. The transcript has a single exon. The record is from RefSeq and is a predicted model, not a curated record. Lineage: Eukaryota; Metazoa; Chordata; Actinopteri; Elopiformes; Megalopidae.
UUGCAUGUAGUGGUCUUUGGGCUGUAGUUCCCUCUCUCUGCAGUAGGGAGUGUGAGCUAUUGACAGACAUGCUAUAGCAACCACAUGGAGAUAUCAGGGCCGCCAGUCUUUCAAGUACAGGCUGAGCUGGUAGUAUAACCGUCCAACACUU